This 1981-nucleotide ribosomal RNA is filed under the name Bacteroides fragilis. Its description in RNAcentral is "partial 23S ribosomal RNA". It matches the Rfam family "Bacterial large subunit ribosomal RNA", at positions 1 to 1985 of the family's 2925-position model. The record is from RNAcentral. Lineage: Bacteria; Pseudomonadati; Bacteroidota; Bacteroidia; Bacteroidales; Bacteroidaceae.
GUUGAUAAGGUUAAGUGAAUAAGGGCGCACGGUGGAUGCCUUGGCACUAGGAGCCGAUGAAGGACGGGACUAACACCGAUAUGCUUUGGGGAGCUGUACGUAAGCUAUGAUCCAGAGAUUUCCGAAUGGGGGAACCCAGCAUCUUUUAUAGGAUGUUACGUUUGCGUGAAUACAUAGCGCAUUCGAGGUAGACGCAGAGAACUGAAACAUCUAAGUACCUGCAGGAAGAGAAAGAAAAUUCGAUUCCCUGAGUAGCGGCGAGCGAAACGGGAAAAGCCCAAACCAAUGAGCUUGCUCAUUGGGGUUGUAGGACUCCAAUAUGGUAGUUCUUUCAGAUAGUCGAAUGACUUGGAAAAGUCAGUCAAAGAGGGUAAAAACCCCGUAGAUGAAAUUUGGAAGGCACCUAGGAGGAUCCUGAGUACGGCGGAACACGAGGAAUUCCGUCGGAAUCCGGGAGGACCAUCUCCCAAGGCUAAAUACUCCCUAGUGACCGAUAGUGAACCAGUACCGUGAGGGAAAGGUGAAAAGCACCCCGGAAGGGGAGUGAAAUAGAACCUGAAACCGUGUGCCUACAACAAGUCAAAGCCCGUUAAUGGGUGAUGGCGUGCCUUUUGUAGAAUGAACCGGCGAGUUACGAUUGCAUGCGAGGUUAAGUUGAAGAGACGGAGCCGCAGCGAAAGCGAGUCUGAAUAGGGCGUUUGAGUAUGUAGUCGUAGACCCGAAACCAUGUGAUCUACCCAUGUCCAGGUUGAAGGUGCGGUAAAACGCACUGGAGGACCGAACCCACGUACGUUGAAAAGUGCGGGGAUGAGGUGUGGGUAGCGGAGAAAUUCCAAACGAACUUGGAGAUAGCUGGUUCUCUCCGAAAUAGCUUUAGGGCUAGCCUCGGAAUUGAGAAUGAUGGAGGUAGAGCACUGUUUGGACUAGGGGCCCAUCUCGGGUUACCGAAUUCAGAUAAACUCCGAAUGCCAUUCAUUCAUAUCCGGGAGUCAGACUGUGAGUGAUAAGAUCCAUAGUCGAAAGGGAAACAGCCCAGACCACCAGCUAAGGUCCCAAAAUAUAUGUUAAGUGGAAAAGGAUGUGGGGUUGCACAGACAACUAGGAUGUUGGCUUAGAAGCAGCCACCAUUUAAAGAGUGCGUAAUAGCUCACUAGUCGAGUGACCCUGCGCCGAAAAUGUACCGGGGCUAAACAUAUUACCGAAGCUGUGGAGUACACCUUUAGGUGUAUUGGUAGGAGAGCGUUCUAAGGGCGUCGAAGGCAGAUCGUGAGGACUGCUGGAGCGCUUAGAAGUGAGAAUGCCGGUAUGAGUAGCGAAAGACAGGUGAGAAUCCUGUCCACCGAAUGACUAAGGUUUCCUGGGGAAGGCUCGUCCGCCCAGGGUUAGUCGGGACCUAAGCCGAGGCCGACAGGCGUAGGCGAUGGACAACAGGUUGAUAUUCCUGUACUCGUUGUUUUUGUUUGAGCAAUGGAGGGACGCAGGAGGCUAAGGAAUGCAGACGAUUGGAAAUGUCUGUCUAAGCAGUAAGUCUUGAUAGGAGUCAAAUGCUUCUAUCUGUACGGACAAGCUGUGAUGGGGAGGGAAAUAAUAGUACCGAAGUUCCUGAUGUCACACUGCCGAGAAAAGCUUCUAGUGAGAAAACAACGACCCGUACCGCAAACCGACACAGGUAGUCGAGGAGAGAAUCCUAAGGUGAGCGAGAGAACUCUCGUUAAGGAACUCGGCAAAAUGACCCCGUAACUUCGGGAGAAGGGGUGCUGAUCUAAGAUCAGCCGCAGUGAAUAGGCCCAAGCGACUGUUUAUCAAAAACACAGGUCUCUGCAAAAUCGUAAGAUGAAGUAUAGGGGCUGACGCCUGCCCGGUGCUGGAAGGUUAAGAGGAGUGCUUAGCGUAUGCGAAGGUACGAAUUGAAGCCCCAGUAAACGGCGGCCGUAACUAUAACGGUCCUAAGGUAGCGAAAUUCCUUGUCGGGUAAGUUCCG